This is a non-coding RNA of Acanthosepion pharaonis, 114 nucleotides long. NCBI's taxonomy places the organism in Eukaryota, Metazoa, Mollusca, Cephalopoda, Sepiida, Sepiidae. The record is from the annotation of a GenBank genome assembly.
UACAGCCAUGUCAGGUUGAAACACCUGCGCUCGUAGGUAUCAUCGAAGUUAAGUAACAUAGAGCUUGAUCAGUACCUAGAUGGGUGACCGCUUGGGAAAAUCAGGGGCUGUAAU